This 567-nucleotide ribosomal RNA is filed under the name uncultured archaeon. RNAcentral's name for it is "bacterial SSU rRNA". It matches the Rfam family "Archaeal small subunit ribosomal RNA", at positions 325 to 882 of the family's 1478-position model. The record is from RNAcentral.
ACGGGGUGCAGCAGGCGCGAAAACUUCACACUGGGGGCAACCCCGAUGAGGGAAUUCCUAGUGCCAGGGCUUUUUGUCCUGGCUUUUCUCCAGCGUAGAUUACUGGAGGAAUAAGGGCUGGGUAAGACGGGUGCCAUCCGCCGCGGUAAUACCUGCAGCCCAAGUGGUGGUCGAUUUCAUCGAGUCUAAAACGUUCGUAGCCGGUUUGGUAAAUCUUUGGGUAAAUCGGGAAGCUUAACUUUCCGACUUCCGAAGAGACUGUCAAACUUGGGACCGGGAGAGGCUAGAGGUACUUCUGGGGUAGGGGUAAAAUCCUUGUAAUCCUACAAGGACCACCGGUGGCGAAGGCGUCUAGCUAGAACGGAUCCGACGGUGAGGGACGAAGCCCUGGGUCGCAAACGGGAUUUAGAUACCCCGGUAGUCUAGGGUGUAAACGCUGCAGACUAGGUGUUGGAGGGCCCUACGGCGGGCACCCCAGGUGCCCGACAGAAGUUGUUAAGUUCCUGGUUACUUGGGGAGUACGUCCGGCCAGGAUGAAACUUGAAGGGAAUUGUGCGGGGGGAGCAC